UAGGGAAUCUUCCACAAUGGACGCAAGUCUGAUGGAGCAACGCCGCGUGAGUGAAGAAGGCUUUCGGGUCGUAAAACUCUGUUAUUGAAGAAGAACGUGUGUGACAGUAACUGGUCAUGCAGUGACGGUAUUCAAUCAGAAAGUCACGGCUAACUACGUGCCAGCAGCCGCGGUAAUACGUAGGUGGCAAGCGUUGUCCGGAUUUAUUGGGCGUAAAGCGAGUGCAGGCGGUCUUUUAAGUCUGAUGUGAAAGCCUUCGGCUUAACCGAAGGUAGGGC
This 278-nucleotide ribosomal RNA is filed under the name uncultured bacterium. RNAcentral describes it as "partial 16S ribosomal RNA". It matches the Rfam family "Bacterial small subunit ribosomal RNA", at positions 355 to 624 of the family's 1533-position model. The record is from RNAcentral.